RNAcentral lists this ribosomal RNA (382 nucleotides) under Foraminifera environmental sample. RNAcentral's name for it is "SSU rRNA". It matches the Rfam family "Eukaryotic small subunit ribosomal RNA", at positions 1129 to 1418 of the family's 1831-position model. Lineage: Eukaryota; Foraminifera. The record is from RNAcentral.
ACGCACGUGUGAAACUUGAAGGAAUUGACGGAAGGGCACCACAAGAACGCGUGGAGCAUGUGGCUUAAUUUGACUCAACGCGGGAAAUCUUACCGGGUCCGGACACACUGAGGAUUGACAGGCAAUAUUAAUUAUGUAUGAUCACUUUCGGGUGUUAUUCGUAAUUAUGUUAAAUAUGCUAGUCCUUUCAUGAUUAUGUGAUAGGUGGUGCAUGGCCGUUCUUAGUUCGUGGAGUGAUCUGUCUGCUUAAUUGCGUUUCACUAAGGGCCUAUAAAUUUACGUGUGUUGCGGCACUUUGACCCCUCUGGCCUUCGUGUCAUGAGCGCGCGUCUUAGUUUGCUUUGCUCGCACAAUUAGGUCCUGAAAGCAACGAACGUGACCG